Tachysurus vachellii is the source of this 1073-nucleotide long non-coding RNA. RefSeq lists it as uncharacterized. The record is from RefSeq and is a predicted model, not a curated record. The transcript has 4 exons. Lineage: Eukaryota; Metazoa; Chordata; Actinopteri; Siluriformes; Bagridae.
CAUUCGAGACACUCACACAUUUAACCAGCUCCCUCUUAAGCUCUUGGAAUAAGUUUCCGAUGGUGUCGAUGGGUGUUUUGAAGUUCUUUUUGUCCGCAUGGCUGCUGAUUGCACUGGGCAACACGGUCUCCAAGUAGAAAUGCAGUAUGUCGUUCAUGACACUGCAUCCGUAAAGGUUCUGCAAGCGAAACAACACGUUUUUAGUUUUCACCCUGCUCUGUUUUUGUGUCUUUCCCUGUCUUUGUCUGCACUUGUUGCGCGCCUGAGUUUCGAUAUGAUGCAUGUAGUAUUUUUACGCAUAGAAUAAAAAAAAUAUCACUCUAUUAACCAAGCAUCAGUGCUGACUGUGUGGAUGAGUGUCUGAUACUCACAUUAAAAUGAUUAAGGACUGUCCUGUUGAAUAGUGCGGUGUCCAGGUCAUCCUUGGAUUCCUAAACAGACAGCAGAAGAACAAUUUAAUUCAGAAAUCAUUGCCAUACUCUGGAUCCACCUGAUUGAAAGGCUCUUAAGAUUGAAGCUGAUUCAUUAAUCUCUCCUUGCCUACACUGAUGGAGACUACAUAAGGCAACAAAAACUGUUAAAGGUUUGCUGAAAGCUACUCACGUAGUAGUCUCGGAUGACGGCGUAUGAAGAACGAAGUGCUUUCAAUCUGACUGGAAAUCCCUCAAUGAAGGAGCAGCAACUGUUUUGGCAGACAGUCUUUUUGCAUUGAGCAGCCCUGAGCAGCUGAGCUGUCAGCAAAGAAAGCAGGAGGAACCUACAGAAGAGCAUUCUCAAAGAUCUCGUCACACCGGUGUUAGCCCUUUCGUAAGCUUGUAGCUGAAUCCUCGGGGGGAGGAGAAGUGAAGAAUAGCUCAGAUGUGCCCUGUUUUAUAGGCCAAAAUACUUCCCAUUUGGAGGUGGGAGGAACCUGGAGAAUGUGGAGGAAACCCCGACUUGGACGACAUGCACAAAAAUAGCACACAGACUCGAAUCAUGGAUCCUGGAGAUUUGGCUUGAUUCCUAUGAGAAAAACCGGGUCACGGGGGCAGCAGUCUAAGCAGGGACGCCCAGACUUCCCUCUCCCCAGACAC